AUGGUAAUCCUAUGCAAAAUGCCUCUGCCCUAAACUCCUAAAGGAUGUUUUUAUAAUUGCAGGCAAAGUUGAAACAGCCCACAGGUCUGUAGACUUUGAGGGAAGCCAUGUGAUCAGGGUCCUCAGUGUGCAGUCUGCAAAGAGCCAGCCAGGAGCAAGUGCCAAUGAUUUGGAGAGAGCCAACAGAUCAUACCAGCAAUUGUUACUUCUGCAUGGUGCCUCCAGUUGGGAAAGGUGUGUCAAAGAAGAAAAAAUGGACUGUGCAUUAUCCAAACAUUCCAUCAGCUAUACGCCCAGUACCCCACGGAGAAGGACUGCCGGUUCCUGAUGCACCAGUAUCAUUCUCACUUGAGUCAGACGAGGAAGAGGAAAAGGAUGAAACUUCUGGUCCUGAACCAUCAAUGUCACAGGACCCACAUUUUCUCCCAUCCUCCUCCUCUGAAUAACACAAGGUGAACUGAAUGACCUUGUCAGGGAUUGGGAACUACCCAAGAGUAAGGCAGAGCUGUUGGGCUCCAGACUACAGCAGUGGAAUCUCCUGGCAGGUGAUGUUAGGGUUUCCAUGUUCCGUGACCGUCAAAAGGAUCUUGUCCCAUUCUUCUUCAUGGAAGGUGAUCUUGUAGCCUGCAACAACAUCGAUGGUGUGAUGGCAGCCAUCAACAUCGUUCACGAUCCAGAUGAGUGGAGACUGUUCAUUGAUUCAUCGAAGACGAGUCUUAAAAGGUCAUCGAGUCCAGCUCCCUGCCUUCACUAGCAGGACCAAGUACUGAUUUUGCCCCAAAUUACCAAGUGGCCCCUUCAAGGAUUGAACUCACAACCCUGGGUUUAGCAAGCCAAUGCUCAAACCACUGAGCUAUUCCUCCCCCAAUGUUUUAAUUGUCAUAUUUGAAUUCAGCACAUCAAAAUACAUAAUAAAUAGCACAUUUUAUCUCUGAAGCAGAUGACUUCUCAAAAAUUGUAGACCAGUGUUAUCAUAACCUAGGGUGACCAGAUGUCCUGUUUUUAAAGGGACAGUCCCGUUUUUAAGCCCCCCCUGCAGAUGUCCUGACUUUUUCUUAAAAGUGGGCAAACUGUCUCAUAUUUGCUGUCUCCCCCGCCAUCAGUACUUGUGGGUCCUGCUGCUGGCCGGAUCCCUGCUCGCCAGGCGCUAGCCCACCAGCGGUGAGUGUGUGUGUGUGGCAUCAUAGUCCUCUAUGAUAAAAGCCAUAUUUAUGGUUUCACAAACCACAGUGGCGGCAGAGGAAUGAUCUA
Molecule: long non-coding RNA, 1251 nt
Organism: Malaclemys terrapin pileata
Lineage: Eukaryota; Metazoa; Chordata; Testudines; Emydidae
Exons: 3
Source: RefSeq, a predicted model, not a curated record